This 465-nucleotide ribosomal RNA is filed under the name uncultured bacterium. RNAcentral describes it as "bacterial SSU rRNA". It matches the Rfam family "Bacterial small subunit ribosomal RNA", at positions 1 to 507 of the family's 1533-position model. The record is from RNAcentral.
AGUAGUCACGUAGUUGACUCCGUCGGCUACGAGAACGACGCUGGCGGCAUGCCUAACACAUGCAAGUCGAACGAGACCUUCGGGUCUAGUGGCGCACGGGUGCGUAACGCGUGGGAAUCUGCCCCUUGGUUCGGAAUAACAGCGAGAAAUUGCUGCUAAUACCGGAUAAUGACGUAAGUCCAAAGAUUUAUCGCCAAGGGAUGAGCCCGCGUAGGAUUAGCUAGUUGGUGUGGUAAAGGCGCACCAAGGCGACGAUCCUUAGCUGGUCUGAGAGGAUGAUCAGCCACACUGGGACUGAGACACGGCCCAGACUCCUACGGGAGGCAGCAGUGGGGAAUAUUGGACAAUGGGCGAAAGCCUGAUCCAGCAAUGCCGCGUGAGUGAUGAAGGCCUUCGGGUUGUAAAGCUCUUUUACUCGGGACGAUAAUGACGGUACCGAGAGAAUAAGCCCCGGCUAACUCCGUG